GUCGAGCGGAUGAAGAGAGCUUGCUCUCUGAUUCAGCGGCGGACGGGUGAGUAAUGCCUAGGAAUCUGCCUGGUAGUGGGGGACAACGUUUCGAAAGGAACGCUAAUACCGCAUACGUCCUACGGGAGAAAGCAGGGGACCUUCGGGCCUUGCGCUAUCAGAUGAGCCUAGGUCGGAUUAGCUAGUUGGUGAGGUAAUGGCUCACCAAGGCGACGAUCCGUAACUGGUCUGAGAGGAUGAUCAGUCACACUGGAACUGAGACACGGUCCAGACUCCUACGGGAGGCAGCAGUGGGGAAUAUUGGACAAUGGGCGAAAGCCUGAUCCAGCCAUGCCGCGUGUGUGAAGAAGGUCUUCGGAUUGUAAAGCACUUUAAGUUGGGAGGAAGGGCAGUAAGCGAAUACCUUGCUGUUUUGACGUUACCGACAGAAUAAGCACCGGCUAACUCUGUGCCAGCAGCCGCGGUAAUACAGAGGGUGCAAGCGUUAAUCGGAAUUACUGGGCGUAAAGCGCGCGUAGGUGGUUUGUUAAGUUGGAUGUGAAAGCCCCGGGCUCAACCUGGGAACUGCAUUCAAAACUGACAAGCUAGAGUAUGGUAGAGGGUGGUGGAAUUUCCUGUGUAGCGGUGAAAUGCGUAGAUAUAGGAAGGAACACCAGUGGCGAAGGCGACCACCUGGACUGAUACUGA
RNAcentral lists this ribosomal RNA (687 nucleotides) under Pseudomonas sp. PFR-1. RNAcentral's name for it is "bacterial SSU rRNA". It matches the Rfam family "Bacterial small subunit ribosomal RNA", at positions 61 to 743 of the family's 1533-position model. Lineage: Bacteria; Pseudomonadati; Pseudomonadota; Gammaproteobacteria; Pseudomonadales; Pseudomonadaceae. The record is from RNAcentral.